AUUAAUUAAUAUUAUUAAUAAUUUGAAUAUCAAUUUAAUAUUGUGAUAUUAUUCUGGUUCAAAAAGUUACGUUUAAGAUCAAAAUUAGUAGCACAAAGUUCAAAGAAUUAGAAAAUGUAUAUAAAAUCAUAUAAGAAAUAUUAUUGAACACUAAAUCUCUGCUAUGACUUUAUUGACCUAUCUCUUCUUCUCUCUAUUUUUCUCUUUCUUUUUUCUUGAAUUCAGUUGUAAUAGCGCAACAAAGUUCUCGCUGUUUUUUUUUGAUGAAAAUGCAAUUUCAUUGUGAAAAAAUGGUUACAAAUGAAUUAUUCAAAGUAUUGCCCAUCGCUAGCGACAACUUUUUCCCAUCUUUCUGGCAGAGCUCAAAUACCGUGACGGUAGAAGUGUUAGUCUUUUGAGGCUAUUCACGAAUCAAGCCAUUUUGAGAUGUUUUCAUAUGAGCGGAACUGCUGAUCAGCCAGACCAUGUGCCAUCGAACGGAACAAGUAAUAAUCGGACGGCGCAAUAUCUGGGGAAUAUAGCGGGUGGAGUAGGACUUCCCAUUUGAGCGUUUCCAACUCAUAAUAAAUAACAUCGCCCUGUUCCCAUCAAAAACGCGAACGGUCGUCAACAUCGAAAUAACCGUCUUUGAAGCGAUGGAACCAAUCACGGCACAUUGUUUCACUUGGAGUAGCAUCUCCGUAAACUUUUUGGAGUUCUCGAUGCGCUUCAGCCGCCGUUUUCUUCGAAUGAAAGAAGAAAAGCAACACUUCCCGCAAAUGACGAUUAUUUGGCACAAAAUCAGACAUUUUCACACAACCAAAAGUAUAUGAUGCAAAAACAAAAUCACUAAUGUGUCAAAGCGGUUUGUUUACCAUAUGUCUAAGCUUAGUUUAUGACGUUUUGGAUAUGUCACAAUCGAUCAGCGUUUAUUGCUGGAGUCAUCUUUUGAAAAACAGCGAGAAUUUAGUUGCGCACCUAAUACAUGACAGUUUUAUGUCAAUUAUGAGUUUAAUUAAUUUUAUCCAAGCAUGUAUUAAAAAUGUAUUUAAAAAGCAUGUAGAUUAAAAAAAAUUGUAUAACUAUAACUUUAAAUACACACACAUACACACACAAUAUUAAAAACUGUAUUAAAUUAAAAUUAAAAUCCAAAAUGCAAAGUAUUGCAAAUUAAAAAUUUUCUAAUUGUAUAUUAGACGAGUAUUUGAUUGAAGGAAAACUUUUAAAGUUGUCCUGGUAUUUGUCUUGGUAACUUGUUUUUCUAAUCAUUUCUCCUAUAAUGUUGCGGUAUAUUGUUUCUGAGUACCGGUACUAGGAUAACCGUUCGAUAUUUUUAAUAUUUGUUUACAGUUUUUUAAAGCCUAAAAUGAGCAGAAAAUUCUGAUAUAAUUGAUUUUUUGUUUGUUUUAUUUAUUAGUGGGGGCGUCACGUGAAGCUAGCACUCUCACUUUUGAUUUUAAUUUCUUGUAACCGGGUAGGAGUAACAAAUUCGGGACUACGGCAGAAAAUUAGGAGAUAAUUAGCAGAAAAUUAUACGGUAGAUCCGAAUUUUCUUUAGUGGUGGGUUGCUAGAUUCACUGACGUUAAUUACUCAUGUGAUCAUCAAGAUUAUAUGCGAGUCGAAUAAUUAUCACGAUUCGUCGUGUUUACUCAUUCACUACAUUGUACAUUAUCUAAGGUGUUUUUAUACCGAUCUGGCUUUUCCGUUCGAGCAAUAAAGGAACUUUCCCUUGGCUCGAAUA
This is a long non-coding RNA of Monomorium pharaonis (pharaoh ant), 1721 nucleotides long. RefSeq lists it as uncharacterized. The record is from RefSeq and is a predicted model, not a curated record. NCBI's taxonomy places the organism in Eukaryota, Metazoa, Arthropoda, Insecta, Hymenoptera, Formicidae. The transcript is spliced from 2 exons.